CGUGGAUAACCUGCCUCACACAGGGGGAUAACAGUUAGAAAUGACUGCUAAUACCGCAUAAGCGCACGGCAUCGCAUGAUGCAGUGUGAAAAACUCCGGUGGUGUGAGAUGGAUCCGCGUCUGAUUAGGUAGUUGGUGGGGUAAUGGCCCACCAAGCCGACGAUCAGUAGCCGACCUGAGAGGGUGACCGGCCACAUUGGGACUGAGACACGGCCCAA
Molecule: ribosomal RNA, 218 nt
Filed under: uncultured bacterium
Lineage: Bacteria
Description: partial 16S ribosomal RNA
Rfam family: Bacterial small subunit ribosomal RNA
Source: RNAcentral